Molecule: transfer RNA, 75 nt
Filed under: Acholeplasmatales bacterium
Lineage: Bacteria; Bacillati; Mycoplasmatota; Mollicutes; Acholeplasmatales
Description: tRNA-Arg
Rfam family: tRNA
About the family: Transfer RNA (tRNA) molecules are approximately 80 nucleotides in length. Their secondary structure includes four short double-helical elements and three loops (D, anti-codon, and T loops). Further hydrogen bonds mediate the characteristic L-shaped molecular structure. tRNAs have two regions of fundamental functional importance: the anti-codon, which is responsible for specific mRNA codon recognition, and the 3' end, to which the tRNAs corresponding amino acid is attached (by aminoacyl-tRNA synthetases). tRNAs cope with the degeneracy of the genetic code in two manners: having more than one tRNA (with a specific anti-codon) for a particular amino acid; and 'wobble' base-pairing, i.e. permitting non-standard base-pairing at the 3rd anti-codon position.
Source: RNAcentral
GUUCUCGUAGUAAAAUGGAUAUUACGAUUCCCUCCUAAGGAAUAAUUGCAGGUUCGAUUCCUACCGAGAACGCCA